Molecule: transfer RNA, 76 nt
Filed under: Methyloceanibacter superfactus
Lineage: Bacteria; Pseudomonadati; Pseudomonadota; Alphaproteobacteria; Hyphomicrobiales; Hyphomicrobiaceae
Also listed under: 2 other names
Description: tRNA-Thr
Rfam family: tRNA
About the family: Transfer RNA (tRNA) molecules are approximately 80 nucleotides in length. Their secondary structure includes four short double-helical elements and three loops (D, anti-codon, and T loops).
Source: RNAcentral
GCCGCAAUAGCUCAGUCGGUAGAGCGACGCAUUCGUAAUGCGUAGGUCGGGGGUUCGAAUCCCUCUUGCGGCACCA